AUACCUUGAAGUUACACCCCGAUUUGAGAAAGUUGAUUUCCUCCACCAUAUCCAUAAUGUUCCAGGGUGGUUUCCAUUGCCCAUCUAUGAUCUUUUGAAGCAUCAGUGAAUCUGUCUCGAGCCAAACAUUAGACAUAUUCAUUGAUUUGCACAUUCUCAUUGCCUCUACUAUUGCUUUUGCCUCAGCUUCAUUGUUAGAGCCCUCCUUAAU
Molecule: long non-coding RNA, 211 nt
Filed under: Nicotiana benthamiana
Lineage: Eukaryota; Viridiplantae; Streptophyta; Magnoliopsida; Solanales; Solanaceae
Description: long non-coding RNA (NBEN_LNC040896)
Source: RNAcentral